Molecule: long non-coding RNA, 2012 nt
Organism: Strongylocentrotus purpuratus (purple sea urchin)
Lineage: Eukaryota; Metazoa; Echinodermata; Echinoidea; Camarodonta; Strongylocentrotidae
Exons: 4
Source: RefSeq, a predicted model, not a curated record
AAUAGUCCUACACUUUGAAACCGUACUUUGGUCUCAAUUUCCGUUUCGUACCCAUUGCAAACGUAUCAACAUUUGUUUUCAUUCAUUCUUUUCAGGUCUUUGUGGACAAUGUCGUAAGUCUCAAAAAUUCAUCAAUGAAAACCUGAAUUUAUGCACGGCAUGUCAUUCUUCACCUAUGUCAAAAAAAAUAUCAGAAGCAGCUACAUAUUCUGACGUGAAACAACCAGUUCCAGAUGCAGAAUUCCUGACACAGAUGAUCGAAAAUACUAAUGACUUGUUAGGAAAUGUAAUCAGGUUACUACAGUUUGAAAAAGAACAGCUUAAGAGGAUAGAAAGCAAAUCCGGUAUGAUGUCAGACGAAGAACUAAGAAGAGAGCAGAACGAAAGGCAAAGACUGUUGAUCCUGAGGAAUAUGUUGAAUCAGUAACAUUUAUCUACAGGGAUAAAGCCCAGAACAAGACGCUUCAAACUGGCAGAACGCGAGGAAUUGAUCAAGUUCGCCAUCAAACAAUGCCCAGAAACAGCACUUUGUAGAUAGAGUAUAUUAGAUAGAAUUUGAAAAAGAUGUACACAUUUGUAAAUCAAUUAGUCUCGUUAACGAUACCGCUGAUAAAAUAUUAUCUGUUGGUCAAUUUUCCUAGGAAGUUCUGGGGAUGACCUGACCGUAAGAAUUUCCUCUUUUUUCGUAAUGGCUGCCUGGCGUUUUUGUUCCUAAAUAUCUAAACGAUGUAUCCCCCUUUAAAAAUUUGGUAUUCCAUUCAAGAUGAAUAAAGCAAACACAGAAAUUGAAUUAGUUAUGUUGAAAAUUGUACCUUUACAGAAUGGAGACUAGUUGAUUAUCAGAUCAACAUUUACAACGUCAUAUUCAAUGUUUUUUUUCUCUUUGGCACUUUAAAUUAUUAAAUACCACUUGAUUCCCUGUACAACAUAUUUCGAAGGUGGUGUAUAUUUUUCAAAACUUGGGGGGGGGGCGGCGGCAAUGAAAGGCUUUUUUUUAAAUAGUAAGGAAUAUGUUAUUGAUAUCUGUUUUAACAUGACAAAUUGACUCCAGUUACGGCCUUCAAUAUGUCCAUGUGUGUAUAGAGGUGACAAAAGUAACACAAACUGUUAGACGACCUGCUAUUAUAUAUUCUGUGGAAUAACCUUAAAUCACCUUGAUCACGUGUAAGGAAUGCGUCCCCCAGUCUAGGCCUAUACUCUUUAAUGGGCCUAUAUUGAUUAUAUUUUAAUCGUUGAACCAUGGUUGAACGUUGACCCUUCCCGUACGGUGGAUGGCAAAUCCAGUCUAAGCUUUGAGAGUUUAAAUUAUAACCCAUAUUGUUUGAACUAAGAAGAUAUGUUUCUUUAUCUUAAAAACAGAAAUAGGUACCUCCGUUGUGAAUUUCGCAUCCAUUGAAGAUUAAUAUUUAUUUCCAGGGUAUAAAUGAAACAAAUUUAGACGUCAAAGUUAUGCUUUUUAAAGUUCAUUUACAAGAAUUUUCCAAAGUUUUGGUGGCGCAGAAAAGAUUACAGGAACUCUGUAUACUAAUGAUAUUUAGUGAAAAAAAAUAAUGUUUAAAUAUUGUUUGGCAUACGCUUGUGCAAGAAAUGUACGAUACAUGGUCCUGCUGAUAAUUGAUUCUCAGUCAAUUUCAAAGAAAAAACGGUCCAAUUUCUAUUUUCAAUUAAGUAAAUCCAAUUACUGUCAGAAACAGACUUGUCCCUGCUUGUGUUUUAUUGGAGGUAGUAAUGUAUAUGUAAAGUCUUGUACAAACUGUUCUGGUUAUCAUUAUCACUAAUUCUAUCAGUACUCGAUCUUAGAUUGAAAAAAAUAGUGUUUAAAAGUUUCACUCAAUACGGGCCUUUGUUGCCGGGGUUUGGGGGCUGCAACCUUCCCCAAGAUUAUCAACCUAGCAAUUUAUUUUGGCUAUCGUCACCUCAUCCCUAAAAUCUUCGUGGCCACGGUUACAUACUUCACUAAUGAAAUAAUAAUAAAACUCUAUCAGUGGAUAUAUAGCAUUGAUAAUAAUAAU